ACACUUGAAAUUAACAGCCACUGU
This 24-nucleotide non-coding RNA is filed under the name Arabidopsis thaliana (thale cress). The record is from RNAcentral. Lineage: Eukaryota; Viridiplantae; Streptophyta; Magnoliopsida; Brassicales; Brassicaceae.